GACGAACGCUGGCGGCGUGCUUAACACAUGCAAGUCGAACGGACAGGCCCUGCUUUUGUGGGGUGCUCGAGUGGCGCGCGGGUGAGUAACACGUGAGUAACAUGUCCUUGACUGUGGGAUAACUUCAGGAAAAUGGGGCUAAUACACGAUAGAAUCUACUGCUGCAUGGGGUGGGUUGGAAAGUUCCGGCGGUGGGGGAUGUACUGGCGGGUUACGAGCUGGUUGGUGGGGUUGUGGAUUACCAAGGUUUUGACGGGUAGGCGGCCUGGGAGGUGUACCGGCCACCAUGGUACUGAGGUACGGACCAGACUCCUACCGGAGGCAGCGGGGGAGAACAUUGCGCAAUGAGGCGAAGCCUGAUACAGCAACCCUGCGAGCGUGAUGCCCUCCUUCGGGUUGUAAACCACUUUCGCAUGAGACGAAGCGUGCGUGACGGUAAUGGGUCAAGAAGCACCGGCUAACUACGUG
Molecule: ribosomal RNA, 468 nt
Filed under: uncultured bacterium
Lineage: Bacteria
Description: partial 16S ribosomal RNA
Rfam family: Bacterial small subunit ribosomal RNA
Source: RNAcentral